GUUGUUUCAUGCGGAGAAAGAGGUGUGUCUUCGAACAACAGCUAAAUUACUGUCCUUGGACUUCCCUAAGCUGUGUUUACAGGCCCUGGUGAGAUUACAACAAAAAGUGGAAAAGUAUAACAUCACAUUCAUGGUCAGUCAUCUGUGAGUCUUGAUCAUGAUUGUAUAUCAUCUCUCUGGUUGCUGAGCUGACCAGUGAAUUGCAGAAGAAAACAAAAUUGCACAGCAUAAUAAUAAAACCCUGUCAGUUUUCAGUGAAGAGAUUGAAAUGCAGAU
Micropterus dolomieu (smallmouth bass) is the source of this 276-nucleotide long non-coding RNA. RefSeq lists it as uncharacterized. The record is from RefSeq and is a predicted model, not a curated record. NCBI's taxonomy places the organism in Eukaryota, Metazoa, Chordata, Actinopteri, Centrarchiformes, Centrarchidae. The transcript has 2 exons.